GAUGAACGCUGGCGGCGUGCUUAACACAUGCAAGUCGAACGUGAAGAAGCAGCAAUGUUUCUGAAAGUGGCGGACGGGUGAGUAACACGUGGGUGACCUGCCUUGCAGAGGGGGAUAACGAGGGGAAACCUUCGCUAAUACCGCAUAGGCUUACACUGAUGGGAAUGGUGUGGGUAAAACUGAGGUGCUGCAAGAGGGGCCUGCGUCCGAUUAGCUAGUUGGUGAGGUAAUGGCUCACCAAGGCGAUGAUCGGUAGCUGGUCUGAGAGGACGAUCAGCCACACGGGAACUGAGAAACGGUCCCGACUCCUACGGGGGGCAGCAGUGAGGAAUAUUGGGCAAUGGACGAAAGUCUGACCCAGCAACGCCGCGUGGAGGAUGAAGGUUUUUGGAUUGUAAACUCCUUUUGUGGGGGAAGAGUGAGGACGGUACCCCAAGAAUAAGUCACGGCUAACUACGUGCCAGCAGCCGCGGUAAGGUGCGCGAGU
Molecule: ribosomal RNA, 487 nt
Filed under: uncultured bacterium
Lineage: Bacteria
Description: bacterial SSU rRNA
Rfam family: Bacterial small subunit ribosomal RNA
Source: RNAcentral